UACGUAGGAUGCAAGCGUUGUUCGGAAUUACUGGGCGUAAAGAGUACGUAGGCGGUUUGAUAAGUCUGAAAUUAAAGACUGAGGCUUAACCUCAGGAAUGUAUCGGAAACUGUCAGACUAGAGGACAAUAGAGGAAGUCGGAAUUCUCAGUGUAGCGGUGAAAUGCGUAGAUAUUGGGAAGAACACCAGUGGCGAAAGCGGACUUCUGGGUUGUUACUGACGCUGAGGAGCGAAAGCCAGGGGAGCAAACGGG
Molecule: ribosomal RNA, 253 nt
Filed under: uncultured bacterium
Lineage: Bacteria
Description: partial 16S ribosomal RNA
Rfam family: Bacterial small subunit ribosomal RNA
Source: RNAcentral